AACGAACGCUGGCGGCAGGCUUAACACAUGCAAGUUGAACGGGAUUUGCUAGGUGCUUGCACCGAGCAAUGAGAGUAGCGCACUGGUGAGUAACACGUGGGAACGUACCUUUUGGUGGGGGACAACAGUUGGAAACGACUGCUAAUACCGCAUAAGCCCUGAGGGGGAAAGAUUAAUCGCCGAAAGAACGGCCCGCGGAAGAUUAGGUAGUUGGUGGGGUAAAGGCCUACCAAGCCUACGAUCUAUAGCUGGUCUGAGAGGACGAUCAGCCACACUGGAACUGAGACACGGUCCAGACUCCUACGGGAGGCAGCAGUGAGGAAUAUUGGGCAAUGGAGGCAACUCUGACCCAGCCAUGCCGCGUGAGUGAAGAAGGUUUUCGGAUUGUAAAGCUCUUUCGGGUGAGANG
Molecule: ribosomal RNA, 409 nt
Filed under: uncultured Alphaproteobacteria bacterium
Lineage: Bacteria; Pseudomonadati; Pseudomonadota; Alphaproteobacteria
Description: bacterial SSU rRNA
Rfam family: Bacterial small subunit ribosomal RNA
Source: RNAcentral